This 320-nucleotide ribosomal RNA is filed under the name uncultured eukaryote. RNAcentral describes it as "partial 18S ribosomal RNA". It matches the Rfam family "Eukaryotic small subunit ribosomal RNA", at positions 1470 to 1796 of the family's 1831-position model. The record is from RNAcentral.
CCCCUAGAUGCUCUGGGCCGCACGCGCGCUACACUGAACAGUUCAACAAGUCUUAACCUUGGCCGAUAGGUCUGGGUAAUCUUUGAACGCUGUUCGUGAUUGGGAUAGACCUUUGCAAUUAUGGGUCUUCAACGAGGAAUUCCUAGUAAACGCAAGUCAUCAGCUUGCAUUGAUUACGUCCCUGCCCUUUGUACACACCGCCCGUCGCACCUACCGAUUGAAUGGUCCGGUGAAAUCUCGGGACGGCGGCUUGGUCGCUUGCGUCCGACUGCUGAAACUUGAUUAAACCAUAUCAUUUAGAGGAAGGUGAANUCGUANCA